Glycine soja is the source of this 876-nucleotide long non-coding RNA. RefSeq lists it as uncharacterized. The transcript is spliced from 2 exons. NCBI's taxonomy places the organism in Eukaryota, Viridiplantae, Streptophyta, Magnoliopsida, Fabales, Fabaceae. The record is from RefSeq and is a predicted model, not a curated record.
CAUUAUUUAUAUUAUUACAAUAAUUAAUAUUUUUUAUAUUCUUUGGUUUAUCAGAAGGAGUAGUGGAUACGGUUUAGGAUCAUUGUUAUAAUAGGCAAAAUUGAUGGUGAUCGUACAUAGUGGCUAGGAAGGGAUAUAAUGGCUACUGUUGCAGUUAUUGGACUCAGUGGAGGAAAGAGACUCUUGAGUUCAUCAUACCAUUACUUUGAUAUUAUAGAAAAGCUUUCUUAUGGCAGUGAUUUUGGAUCCACACACACUACCAAUUUGGAUUUAAGUAUUAUGACUUUUUCAUCGUAACCAUGAACAUAUUUCAUUUUAUGUUGAGUAUUGGCAAUUGUUCCUUAUGUUAUCCUGUGCUUGGCAAGAUAUCAGAAGAGAGCUUGGAAUGGAUAUAAUUGAGGAACAUACGGUGAUGGAAUAUUCUCAGGUGAUGCAUCCUGCAAUACUUAGUAGUUUUUUUAGCAGAUUUUUGUAUGUUUAAAUGUUAUUGUUUUUUGACAGGUCAGCAAGAAAUGUGAAAAAUGAGACCAUGGAGAAGCUACCUAUUACACUAGACAGAUGAGAUCAACAAACAAGGGGCAAACUACUUUCUACACAUGUACCGACUGUGGUCAUCAGUCUUAGGAGAAUUAGUGGUUUACUUUAAGGUUAUGCUUAGUUUGGGAGAGAAAAGUGGAAGGAAAAAGAAAGAUAAAGAGUGAAAACUGAGAUGAUUUUUUGGUAGGAGAGAAAAUGAAAAGAAAGUUAAUUUUUUUUCUUCUUAUUUGAUUGUGUAUAAAGGAAAAAAAAAGCAUGUACGUGAAAUGUAAUAAAUACUUAAAACUUGGAAUCAAAUGUAGCAAUUAAUCUUUUUAUAAAAAAAAUAUAUUUAGAAGA